Long non-coding RNA from Callithrix jacchus (white-tufted-ear marmoset), 1899 nucleotides. RefSeq lists it as uncharacterized. NCBI's taxonomy places the organism in Eukaryota, Metazoa, Chordata, Mammalia, Primates, Cebidae. The record is from RefSeq and is a predicted model, not a curated record.
GGGAAGGAUGGACUUGGGAACUUAUACAAUUAAAACAAAAGGCGGAAGACCUAGAGUCAAGUGUUUGUGGAUCAAGUCAGCAAAUGCUUGGACCCUGCCCAGGUGGCUCCCAGCAGAGUUUCUCAUCAAAAGUUGAAUCUCUCACCAUAUUGGCGUGGAUUGUUCUUCUAGAAAUUAACAACGAUGAAGAAAUGACAACAUAUCAUCUCUACUCAUUAAAUAUUACUUCUUUCUCACUUCUGUCUCCUGCUCCUGUGGAGGGGGGACCAUGUACAAACAGCAGUCUCCAACACAAUGCUUCAGCGUUAAAAGCAGUACUGACAGUAUUAACAGGUAUGGAAAAGUGCUGAUGCAUUAUGCUCCUUACCUCAUCUCGGCUACUAGAAAGCCUUGGGCCCCCACCUAUAUGACACGUGAUGUACUUGAUCCUAUCACUGACCACCAAGGCCACGCCCUCUCUACCCUGCCCCAGCUUUGUACACAAUAAAAGUCAGAGUGUGCAGACUCGGGGCCACGGCCGGACUCCGCACUUUGGUUAGCAGUGGACCCCUGGGCCCAGACUCUCUUUUCUCUGUCUCUGUGACUUGUGUCUUUUAUUUCUAGUUUCUUGUCUCCACACCAGCAGAGAGGGGCUCAAAGGACCCUGCAGGGCUGGACCCUACAGGUACACCAGGUUGCCGUCUGCAUUUUCCCUGUUACUUCACUGGCAUGACAGUGACCACAGGGUAUAUGUGCUCGUGUGAUUAUCUGGCUGAUCCUUGUCCUUCCCAGUAGGCGCUGAGUUCCAUCAAAUCAGGGCCCAUUCCUAGAUUUGCAGUCCUGGCACAGCUCCCAGCACCCAACAAGUGUUCAGUAGACAACAGUGGCAUUACCCGUCUGUAAACAUGUCAUGAGACACUGGGUGAAUGUUGGGCAGAACUCCACAGCAUUUGAGUCCAGAGGUUCCCAGGGAGGCCCAGGCUCCAUACAGGGUCAAUCAGCAUCUGGCCCUGGCUUUAGGCUCAGGCCCUGGUCCAGGCUGGGUCCCCCAGCACUCCCUGAUAGUUCAUUGUGAGCCCUGGCUUUCCUAGGGGCCACCAGCUCUCAUCCGAUGUCACUCACUUUGAGCAGUGUGCAUCUUGCCAGGAUCAUGUGGUCUCUAUUUUCUUCCCAGACCCGGCCUUCCCGGCGGGCUCCGAGUGGCUGGGCCUGCCGGACGCUGCGACUCUUGGAGAGCUUCCUGUUUCUGUGAAGAUGCUCAGGCUACGGCUUUAUGUUCUUCAUCCAGCUGUCCAAGGACAAUUUGGGAAAGAUCUCAAGUCCAUAUCAAGGCCUAAUCUGGCUCUAUCCACAUGACUUCUGUUGGAAUCCGAGAGCUGGACUCAAUGGAGGGUCCAGCCACCACCCAGAAUGAUCGGGUCAUUUUCCAGAUGAGGGACCUAUGUCUGGAAGAGCUCAGCAACUCCCGUGGGUUGUCUGGGAAAUUACUGCCAGAGCUGGGUUUGAAAUUUGCUUUCCUGACUCUUGUAAACUUCUUGAUGGUAUGGAUUUUAUCUGAGUCAUCAAGAAAGGUAUUUUAGAGCCAAAGGGACCUAAGAAAUAAUUGUGUUUCUUCCUCUCCUUACAGAAGAAGACAAUGGAGCUGAGAGACGUUCAGUUACUUGGUCCAAUUACAAAUAUGCGAGCUUCAAACUGGGCUCAGUCUAGAUCGAUCUUUCUCCACGGCCAGUGCUCUUGGACCACCGAGAAUUACCUGUUCCUGCUUCUACCACGGUUCUCAUUCCCACUCCCUCUGCCCCAUCAUUUCUACCCUACACUAUGCUUGGGCUCUGGACUCAACCCUGCCGGGAGCUCUUUCCAACACGCAACACACACUGAGACCUGCCCUCUGGAGCUUAUCCAGGAGCCAAGAAAACAAGA